RNAcentral lists this ribosomal RNA (96 nucleotides) under Flavobacterium sp. RNAcentral also lists the same sequence under 3 other names. Lineage: Bacteria; Pseudomonadati; Bacteroidota; Flavobacteriia; Flavobacteriales; Flavobacteriaceae. The record is from RNAcentral.
CGGCGGGGCUCACCUCUUCCCAUCCCGAACAGAGUAGUUAAGCCCGCCUGCGCAGAUGGUACUGCAGUUAUGUGGGAGAGUAUGUCGUCGCCUUUC